GGGGAUGUAGCUCGUAUGGUAGUGCGCUCGCUUUGCAUGCGAGAGGUACGAGGAUUGAUACCCCGAAUCUCCA
Molecule: transfer RNA, 73 nt
Filed under: Ipomoea nil (Japanese morning glory)
Lineage: Eukaryota; Viridiplantae; Streptophyta; Magnoliopsida; Solanales; Convolvulaceae
Rfam family: tRNA
About the family: Transfer RNA (tRNA) molecules are approximately 80 nucleotides in length.
Source: Rfam by way of RNAcentral